UUCAAGAAACAUGUUUCUUGAAAUGCAGGAAGUGAAGAAGGAAGAAGAAAUAGAGGAAGAAGAAGAAUAGAAAGAAGACAAAGAUCUCAGAGAAGAAGAAGGAGAAUUGGAGGAAAGAAGAGAGGAAGAGAGAAGAAUAGAAGGAACCUGGUAUUUGGGAAGAGUAAUCUGCCAUAAAUGUUGUCCAUUGAUCUAACAGCUCUGAUACCAGUUUAUUACAUAACAAAAUCUCAGAACACCAUAACAC
This 247-nucleotide unclassified non-coding RNA is filed under the name Hevea brasiliensis (rubber tree). The record is from RNAcentral. Lineage: Eukaryota; Viridiplantae; Streptophyta; Magnoliopsida; Malpighiales; Euphorbiaceae.